RNAcentral lists this small RNA (28 nucleotides) under Bombyx mori (domestic silkworm). Its description in RNAcentral is "ovarian small RNA-20076". Lineage: Eukaryota; Metazoa; Arthropoda; Insecta; Lepidoptera; Bombycidae. The record is from RNAcentral.
UACAACUGAACAGAUGCCUAAAUACGAU